Molecule: long non-coding RNA, 326 nt
Filed under: Nicotiana benthamiana
Lineage: Eukaryota; Viridiplantae; Streptophyta; Magnoliopsida; Solanales; Solanaceae
Description: long non-coding RNA (NBEN_LNC039834)
Source: RNAcentral
AAGCUACUAAAGAGAAUAAAGAGAAUAUAAAUGGAGAACUUAAGGCCUUGAAACCUUUGAAAGUUUUUGUUGGUUUGAACAAUGAAAGCUUACAUGCCACUUAGAUUAAUGGGGAGGCCAAGCUUACAACAAAUGAAUCAGUUAUAGAAUUAUGAGAUGAAGUAUGUUAAAUCAGCCACGUAUCAGAAAAGAAACAUAUAGCUAAGGGGAUAUCAAAUGGGGUUUCUAAUAGAUGCUAGCUUUAGUUGUUUAGUGUGUAUAAAGUUUUAUCAUGAUACAUACAUCCAAUUCUUUAUGUUUGUUCAUUUUUAGGAUACCCCUUUAAG